Molecule: ribosomal RNA, 1324 nt
Filed under: uncultured bacterium
Lineage: Bacteria
Description: partial 16S ribosomal RNA
Rfam family: Bacterial small subunit ribosomal RNA
Source: RNAcentral
AGAGUUUGAUCCUGGCUCAGAAUGAACGCUGGCGGUGUGCUUAACACAUGCAAGUCGCGCGCGAAAGUUUCUUCGGAAAUGAGUAAAGCGGCGAACGGGUGAGNNNNNNNNNNNNNNNNNNNNNNNNNNNNNNNNNNNNNNNNNNNNNNNNNNGUUAAUACUGUAUAAGUCCCUUCGGGGAGAAAGAUGGCUUUAUGCUAUCGCUAGAGGAUGAGCUUGCGGACUAUUAGCUAGUUGGUGGGGUAAAGGCCUACCAAGGCGAUGAUGGAUAGCCGGCCUGAGAGGGUGAACGGCCUCAUUGGGACUGAGAUACGGCCCAGACUCCUACGGGAGGCAGCAGUGAGGAAUAUUGCGCAAUGGACGAAAGUCUGACGCAGCGACACCGCGUGGAGGAUGAAGGUUUUCGGAUUGUAAACUCCUGUUAAGUGGGAAGAAAUACCUGUUUCUAAUAAAGGCGGGGGAUGACGGUACCACUAAAGAAAGCACCGGCUAACUUCGUGCCAGCAGCCGCGGUAAUACGAGGGGUGCAAGCGUUAUUCGGAUUAACUGGGCGUAAAGGGUGUGUAGGUUGUGAAUCAAGUCCGCUGUUUAAUCCUUCAGCUUAACUGAAGGCUCGCAGUGGAAACUGAUUCGCUAGAGGAUGGAAGAGAGAAGUAGAAUUCUCGGAGUAGCGGUAAAAUGCGUAGAUCUCGAGAGGAAUACCGAUGGCGAAGGCAGCUUCUUGGUCCAUUCCUGACGCUCAUGCACGAAAGCGUGGGGAGCAAACAGGAUUAGAUACCCUGGUAGUCCACGCCGUAAACGAUGAUCACUAGACGUCGAAUCUGCUCUGCAGAAACGGUGUCGUAGCUAACGCGUUAAGUGAUCCACCUGGGGAGUACGAUCGCAAGAUUAAAACUUAAAGAAAUUGACGGGGGUCCGCACAAGCGGUGGAACAUGUGGUUUAAUUCGACACUACGCGAGAAACCUUACCUGGGUUUGACAUGUAUGUGACCGCUGUAGAAACACAGUUUUCCGGUUUACCGGACACAUACACAGGUGCUGCAUGGCUGUCGUCAGCUCGUGUCGUGAGAUGUUGGGUUAAGUCCUUUAACGAGCGCAACUCCUGUCGCUAGUUGCUACCCUGUAAAGGGGCACUCUAGCGAGACUGCCUGACUGCCUGGGAAACCAGGAGGAAGGCGGGAAUGACGUCAAGUCCUCAUGGCCCUUAUGUCCAGGGCGACACACGUGUUACAAUGGCUAAUACAAAGGGCUGCCAACCUGUAAAGGUGAGCAAAUCUCGAAAAUUAGUCUAAGUUCGGAUCGAGGUCUGCAAUUCGACCUCGUG